GACGAACGCUGGCGGCGUGCUUAACACAUGCAAGUCGAGCGGUAAGGCCCUUUCGGGGGUACACGAGCGGCGAACGGGUGAGUAACACGUGGGUGACCUGCCCUCAGCUCUGGGAUAAGCCUGGGAAACCGGGUCUAAUACCGGAUAUGACUCCAUGACGCAUGUUGUGGGGUGGAAAGCCUUGUGCGGCUGAGGAUGGGCCCGCGGCCUAUCAGCUUGUUGGUGGGGUGAUGGCCUACCAAGGCGACGACGGGUAGCCGGCCUGAGAGGGCGACCGGCCACACUGGGACUGAGACACGGCCCAGACUCCUACGGGAGGCAGCAGUGGGGAAUCUUGCGCAAUGGGCGAAAGCCUGACGCAACGACGCCGCGUGAGGGAUGACGGCCU
RNAcentral lists this ribosomal RNA (388 nucleotides) under uncultured bacterium. RNAcentral describes it as "bacterial SSU rRNA". It matches the Rfam family "Bacterial small subunit ribosomal RNA", at positions 28 to 417 of the family's 1533-position model. The record is from RNAcentral.